RNAcentral lists this ribosomal RNA (468 nucleotides) under uncultured bacterium. RNAcentral's name for it is "partial 16S ribosomal RNA". It matches the Rfam family "Bacterial small subunit ribosomal RNA", at positions 28 to 507 of the family's 1533-position model. The record is from RNAcentral.
GACGAACGCUGGCGGCGUGCUUAACACAUGCAAGUCGAACGGAAAGGCCCUGCUUUUGUGGGGUGCUCGAGUGGCGAACGGGUGAGUAACACGUGAGUAACCUGCCCUUGACUUUGGGAUAACUUCAGGAAACUGGGGCUAAUACCGGAUAGGAGCUCCUGCUGCAUGGUGGGGGUUAGAAAGUUUCGGCGGUUGGGGAUGGACGCGCGGCUUAUCAGCUUGUUGGUGGGGUAGUGGCUUACCAAGGUUUUGACGGGUAGCCGGCCUGAGAGGGUGACCGGCCACAUUGGGACUGAGAUGCGGCCCAGACUCCUACGGGAGGCAGCAGUGGGGGAUAGUGCACAAUGGGCGGAAGCCUGAUGCAGCAACGCCGCGUGCGGGAUGACGGCCUUCGGGUUGUAAACCGCUUGCGCCUGUGACGAAGCGUGAGUGACGGUAAUGUGUAAAGAAGCACCGGCUAACUACGUG